CUCUCCGCGGGCGGGCGUGCGCUCGCUUGCCCCCUGCCUGCGGGGACACGCAAAAGUUGGCGGGGACGACCGGGCGACCGACGGGACGACAUCGACCGCCGCCAACACCGCGAUCGCGCGGGCUCUUUCGCGGUGACCCGAUCGGCGACGAAUGUAGUCGACGCUGCCAGCGCCGCGACCAGCCGGAUGGAAGACGAGGUUGACGAUGCGCGUCUGCGCUGGCCCCCGCCGCUGCACAGCGAGCCGAUGCCAUCGGAUGCGGACUCUGGCUACGAGCCAUCGCCGGCCUUCUUCACCUCUGGCCGCGCAGCGUUCGUAUUCGACUGGCCUCAGGAGGAGGAAGCCAACGCCGAAGACACUGUCGUCAUCGUCGGGGACGAUACGCCGCCGUCGUCGUCGUCGCCGCCUCAGCGUUCGUCGGCUAUCCCGAUACCGAGAAGGUCAUCACCGGACUGGCGGUCGCCCUGGCCCGAAGCCGUGGAUGCCACGACCCAGACGUCUCCGCGACGGUCGCUGCCCCUGUCGCCGACGCCUUUUGAGAGCGACGCCGGCCCUGGCAGUCUGCUUCUGAGACUGCUCGAAGAGGCCACCAUUCCGGACCUGGUGCCUCGCGUCGAAGAGCGCUUUCAGCGCGCCUCCACGCGACGCCUGAGCUGGGCCCUGGUCGGCGUGCAACUACGCAACAUCAGCGACAGUUUCGCCUUGUCGCGGAGUGCUCCCACGGGACGGCGGUGCGGGCUGGGGCUCACGUUGAGAUCCGACUAGCAGACGACGGACGGCAGGGCAGGUGCUCCGUCUGCUAGGACUUUACCGGGGACGCUGGAUUGGAUUGGCUCGGCCUUCAGAGCAAAGCCUGCUGAUGACGUCACCAUUAGAUUGACAGAUAAACAGAUCUCGUGACAAAGUUUUUUUUAAAUUUUUUUAUUGUGAAUUUUUUUAUAUUAUUCUUAACUCCGAGGUCGUCGAAAACGAAAGUUUCUACCUAUUUUUUUUUUAUGGUUAAGCUCGGCGAGCUUGAUAUGUGUCCCCGACGAAACUAAACACUUGGUGAAUACAUGCUGACCACACUGGGGUCACAGGUUUCCAUUAAGUUUGUCCAAAGCAACGUUUUCAUAACAAUGCCAGGUCCAGAUGAAGGAAACUAAACUUUGAACGAGCAACAGCUUAGAGCUUAUGAGCUGAAUGCGAGUACAGCAAUCACAUCUAUGAUGUACCAAGUGAAUUUGGCUGAUAGAGCAUGUAUUGAUUAAGUGUUUUGGAUUGGCGGAUAGAUCUCGUGACAAAGCUUUUUUAUAUAUCUCAUUUUUAACCUUGACAUUAAAAACAAAAAGUGCAACUUAUAUUUUUGUAUGGCUAAGCUCAAACUUCGUAUAACCCUAUGACAAAACUGAACACUUGGUCAAUUGAUGCUGGCUACACUGGAGGCUCAGGCUUUUAUCCGAGUUUGUCCAAAGAAACUAUUCAGGUUUACAUAAAUGAACUUAAAUAUAAGAGAAUCAACAGCUUAAAGCUGGGUUACACCAUUUGCUAUUAUGAAGCAGCCUUGGUGUAUGAAGCAUGUAUUGAUCAAGUGUUUACUACUACCUGAGCAGGAAUCAUGGUAGUGGUACAUGCAGAGACGGUGUUUGUUUUUCGACCCAGUAAAGUUAUAAGCAUGAUUAAUGUUUGUGACAAAAAAAAAUUGGGGAAAAGUGUGAUUUCUCUUUUUUUAUGAUUCGUUUCAACCAGUCGAAGAAACGGACACUGUUGCCGACAGCUCUGGAGUUGUCGCCAUCUUCAAAAUCAAACGUAAAUGAAACUUUUCUUUUUUAAUAGAAGCAUGUGCAUUAUUUUUGUUACAGCAACGUUUGAAGAAAAAACAAAUCAUUUUUUGUGUGUGUUUUUCUGCGUGCUGUUGGCUACGACAGGUUCUAACGUAUGCUCAGCUGCGUCGUCUGCCAUUUAUAGACUCCCGGUGUGGGAGUUCUCAACGAGUGCCUUUUGAGAAUGUUUUUUAAUAAGGUUCCGAAAUGUGUUGGAAGGGCCACUUAUAACGAUUUUUCCCUCACUGCGGAAACUGACGGACAUAAGUAAUGUUGACGAUGACUUAUAUAGAUCUCAAUUAAUCUUUACAAAAAGCCUGGUACACAGCAUUACGUAAAGGUUCAUGCACCUUUUGCGAGACAUGGGCGUGUUUCCUCUGGCUCGCAUUUAUUUUAAGUUAACUGGACGUAGAAAUAUUUUCUCUUUCUCCCCAGGAUUCGGGAGAGCGAAAAAACAGAUUUUCUGCCUUGCAGAAGAUCAAGUGUGUAUGCCCGGUUUGCAAGGCAGAAAAUAGGGCCAUUGAUUGCAGUAUUUUUUUUUUCUUUAUCCAGCAAUACAGUAUUUUAAUAUCCAUAGUAUUAGGCUGAAAGGAAUGACAUGCAUUUAAAUUACAUUACAUCUCAUUCUUCCUCUGGAGGAAUGAGAUAAGAAAACAAAAAUCUUUGAAGUGGCCCUUAAGCCAUAUUUUCAGUGUCUGGUUGAGUAACCAGUGUGGAACACCUUCGCUAUGGCGUACAGUCGUGGACAGAACAAACCAGAACAAGUCGGCACUUUUUUGUUAGGUGGGUGCACGGAUGGAUACAGCUGAAUCCUUUCAGUUGGGUGGCAACCAGAAAAGCCUUGAUUUUUUUUUUUAGGGAGUUUUAUGCUUCCUUAGCACAUAAUGUACACAUGUUACAUGCCGUCACCCAGUUGUGUUCACAUGUGCGAUGAAGUGCAUUCGGGCGUUCCGGUUCUCUUUGUGCAGCGACUGUGCCCUACGUAGGAUUCUUGUCAGUCUUGUGCCUUAAAUUUAUCACUGCCAGCGGGUUAGGAAACUAUGUCCAGCGUCAUCUUUGAAGGAACAGUGCUGGCCUUGACCGGGAAAGAGAUACAGUGUGCGUGCGUGUGCUACAGCAAUUUGAACUUUUUGACAGAAGACAUCCAUAUUACAUACAUACAAUAUGGACUAAUGUCUCAAUCUUUUUUUUUUUUUUUUUUUAAGGUCAUACUCGUAAGCGUACGGCAUUCUUUUUCUUUCCAUGGUCUCGAGGCGUCCUGCUCACAGAUUAUGGACCAAAGGGGCGUCGGGGCCAAAAAUACAUGAUCUUGAGUAUUUUUUUUUUUUUGUCUGUCCCUCUUCCUAUGUAUACAUAACAUUUAAAAGAAAGAAAAAAGCUCUUUGCUGCGGUUUUGUGCCGCCUUCGAUCUCAAAGUUGUGUGUGAUAGCCAAUAAAGCGGCUCUGUUUUUGA
Molecule: long non-coding RNA, 3255 nt
Filed under: Ixodes scapularis (black-legged tick)
Lineage: Eukaryota; Metazoa; Arthropoda; Arachnida; Ixodida; Ixodidae
Description: uncharacterized LOC115314989
Source: RNAcentral